AACGAACGCUGGCGGCAUGCCUAACACAUGCAAGUCGAACGAGACCUUCGGGUCUAGUGGCGCACGGGUGCGUAACGCGUGGGAACCUGCCCUUAGGUUCGGAAUAACUCCCCGAAAGGGGUGCUAAUACCGGAUAAUGUCUUCGGACCAAAGAUUUAUCGCCUUUGGAUGGGCCCGCGUUGGAUUAGCUAGUUGGUAGGGUAAAAGCCUACCAAGGCGACGAUCCAUAGCUGGUCUGAGAGGAUGAUCAGCCACACUGGGACUGAGACACGGCCCAGACUACUACGGGAGGCAGCAGUGGGGAAUAUUGGACAAUGGGCGAAAGCCUGAUCCAGCAAUGCCGCGUGAGUGAUGAAGGCCUUAGGGUUGUAAAGCUCUUUUACCCGGGAUGAUAAUGACAGUACCGGGAGAAUAAGCGCCGGCUAACUCCGUG
This 433-nucleotide ribosomal RNA is filed under the name uncultured bacterium. RNAcentral's name for it is "partial 16S ribosomal RNA". It matches the Rfam family "Bacterial small subunit ribosomal RNA", at positions 29 to 507 of the family's 1533-position model. The record is from RNAcentral.